UACAGAGGGUGCAAGCGUUGUUCGGAAUUACUGGGCGUAAAGGGCGCGUAGGCGGCCUUCUAAGUCAGACGUGAAAUCCCCCGGCUUAACCUGGGAACUGCGUCUGAUACUGGAAGGCUUGAGUGCGGGAGAGGGAUGUGGAAUUCCAGGUGUAGCGGUGAAAUGCGUAGAUAUCUGGAGGAACACCGGUGGCGAAGGCGGCAUCCUGGACCGACACUGACGCUGAGGCGCGAAAGCUAGGGGAGCAAACGGG
Molecule: ribosomal RNA, 253 nt
Filed under: uncultured bacterium
Lineage: Bacteria
Description: partial 16S ribosomal RNA
Rfam family: Bacterial small subunit ribosomal RNA
Source: RNAcentral